CUUUAAAGGGUCGUGGGAGAUGACCACGUUGAUAGGCUAUAGAUGUAAAGGCAGUAAUGUCAUAGUCGAGUAGUACUAAUAACCCGUAAGCUUAUGUGUA
This 100-nucleotide ribosomal RNA is filed under the name Flavobacterium sp. NKUCC04_CG. RNAcentral's name for it is "Bacterial large subunit ribosomal RNA". It matches the Rfam family "Bacterial large subunit ribosomal RNA", at positions 2825 to 2925 of the family's 2925-position model. The record is from Rfam by way of RNAcentral. Lineage: Bacteria; Pseudomonadati; Bacteroidota; Flavobacteriia; Flavobacteriales; Flavobacteriaceae.